This is a non-coding RNA of Cyanistes caeruleus (blue tit), 1415 nucleotides long. Lineage: Eukaryota; Metazoa; Chordata; Aves; Passeriformes; Paridae. The record is from RefSeq and is a predicted model, not a curated record.
CUCUUCCCUCCCAUCUCCAAGGGAUUGCCAUGGGGAGGCUGCUCUGGUGCAGGUGGCUGAGCACAGCUCACCCCAGGAUUGCUGCCUGCUGGGGCCUUUCUCAGGCCCUGUUCUCCCCGUGGAUCGAGACCCUUGAUUGAGGGAAAAUCAAACCUGUGGCUGGCUGAGGGAAAAGUGAGCUCCAGAUCUUCACAGCCUUUAGAAUCCCCGAAUGGUUUGGGUUGGAAGGAACCUUAAAGCCCAAGUUCCAGACCCCUGCCAGUUCACCUCCCACUAGACCAGGCUCCUAGACCAGAAACACUUUAUGUUUCACCAAUAAAUAUCCCAUUUGCAGAUAUACUGGAUAACACCUUUAUCCUUUUGCAGACCCCUAUAUCCCAAAUAUUUGUUGUUUCUCAGUGGAGCUGAUGGUUUCCUUCCACAAAACCCUUCAUUCUGCUUUCAGUAUAAUUUGAUUUUCUUGGGUUUUUUUGUGUUUUCAUUUAUAUUUUCUUUUUAAAAACCAACCAAAACCCUCUGGUGCUUGAAGGCAAGAUGUGUCCUCGCUGCAGAGCUGGGAUUACAGCAGAGCAUAGUGAUGAUCUGAACCAGAUCUCACCAGGGAUUUGAAGUCCCAUUAGAGACUCUUGGGCUGGGGCAGACGAGCCCAGAGGGAGAAAUUUUGGGUGAAGGAACUCAAGGAGCAGCAUGACAUCAAUGUGGGCAGUGCUGCUGUUCUUUUUGGCUUUGGGAUGGUGCUGUUUUAGGAUUUUUAGGCUGUUGAGCAGCAGGAACAGGCUGGGCUUUGAUGGUUUGUGUUGAUUCACUUAAAUAAGAAAUCUCAUUCAAACAGAACCUCACAGCUCUCUGAGUUUCAGCUUCUGUUUCACUCAGGUCUCCUGGGAAUUUUCUCUGGAGCUGUGCAGAUGUUUGCAUGACCACAGGAAGUACCCUGUCCUUAAAUAUCCAGUGUGCUGUGACUGUGGAUGGGUCCCAGAUAAUGGCACUGCUCACAGGACUGGUGAUCUGACAGCACAUGAGGGAAACGAGUCAGCCAAAACAAGAGCUUGGGAGCUGAAAGUGACUCUGGGGGGGUUGGACAGGGCCACCCUGGUCCCCUCCCAUGGUGGCCAGAAAGGACAGGGAUGGAUUGGAUUCCUGCAGCUGGAGGAAUUCCCGUUAUCCUGGGAAAUCUGUCCCUUUGACUUCUGUCCCCAGUGCAAGAAGAAGAGUAAAAUAAUUUCAGAGAAGCAUGUAAAAUGUUCUAAAGGCCCUCAAGAAGCAUCAAAUCCAGGUGCUGCCACAUGUUUAUGUGUAUUGGUGAUGCAGGGGGGAGAAAGGGCCAAGAAUCAGAUUUAAAAAACAUUUUUAGAAAUGAUUGUUUUAUUAUAUACAACAGGAAGUAUAAAAAUAAAUAUUUUUUUUUUGGUCACUGU